RNAcentral lists this ribosomal RNA (253 nucleotides) under uncultured bacterium. Its description in RNAcentral is "partial 16S ribosomal RNA". It matches the Rfam family "Bacterial small subunit ribosomal RNA", at positions 524 to 776 of the family's 1533-position model. The record is from RNAcentral.
UACAGAGGUCUCAAGCGUUGUUCGGAUUCAUUGGGCGUAAAGGGUGCGUAGGCGGCGUGGUAAGUCGGGUGUGAAAUCCUGGAGCUUAACUCCGAAACUGCAUUCGAUACUGCCGUGCUUGAGGACUGGAGAGGAGACUGGAAUUUACGGUGUAGCGGUGAAAUGCGUAGAUAUCGUAAGGAAGACCAGUGGCGAAGGCGGGUCUCUGGACAGUACCUGACGCUGAGGCACGAAGGCCAGGGGAGCAAACGGG